UUGACCUCNAAUCAGGUGGGAC
RNAcentral lists this ribosomal RNA (22 nucleotides) under Clavulina cinerea. Its description in RNAcentral is "partial 28S ribosomal RNA". The record is from RNAcentral. Lineage: Eukaryota; Fungi; Basidiomycota; Agaricomycetes; Cantharellales; Hydnaceae.